UAUGUCGUGGCGCGGGAGGCUUCAGCGCUCACGCGCUCUGGGCGCGUGCGCUGGUGGUCGCGCUGUUGCGUCGCGC
RNAcentral lists this transfer RNA (76 nucleotides) under Paraburkholderia hiiakae. Its description in RNAcentral is "tRNA-Gln". Lineage: Bacteria; Pseudomonadati; Pseudomonadota; Betaproteobacteria; Burkholderiales; Burkholderiaceae. The record is from RNAcentral.